GAUGAACGCUGGCGGCGUGCCUAAUACAUGCAAGUCGAGCGAACAUUUUCUGAUCUUUCUCCUCUGACGUUUUCGCCGCACGCGUGAGUAUAACGUGGAUAACCUCUCUCUCAUACUCUGAUACCUUCGUUGAACCGGAUCUCUUACCCCAUAUUAUAUUAUUUCUCAUAUUUCAGUUGUUUAAAACUUUUUUGUUCUCACUUUUUGAUGUAUCCUCGCCGUGCAUUAGCUAGUUGGUGGGGUAAAGGCCCAACAAGGCGACGAUGCAUAGCCGACCUGAGAGGGUGAUCGGCCACACUGGAACUGAGACACGGUCCAGACUCCUACGGGAGGCAGCAGUAGGGAAUCUUCCGCAAUGGGCGAAAGCCUGACGGAGCAACGCCGCGUGAGUGAUGAAGGUCUUCGGAUCGUAAAACUCUGUUAUUAGGGAAGAACAAAUGUGAAAGUAACAAUGCACGACUUGACGGUACCUAAUCAGAAAGCCACGGCUAACUACGUG
RNAcentral lists this ribosomal RNA (499 nucleotides) under uncultured bacterium. RNAcentral describes it as "partial 16S ribosomal RNA". It matches the Rfam family "Bacterial small subunit ribosomal RNA", at positions 28 to 507 of the family's 1533-position model. The record is from RNAcentral.